Non-coding RNA from Pelobates cultripes (western spadefoot toad), 257 nucleotides. Lineage: Eukaryota; Metazoa; Chordata; Amphibia; Anura; Pelobatidae. The record is from the annotation of a GenBank genome assembly.
UAGCAAAUAUCUCAACAGCGACCAUGUUUUUGCCUCUGCUGCUCAGAUAAGCUGGAAUUGCACAGGUCCAUACACUGCAGAACACCAGCAUGCUGAAUGUAAUGUAUUUGGCUUCAUUAAAGUUGUCCGGCAAGGUCCGUACCAUAUAUGCUAGAAUGAAACUCAUAGUGGUCAGAAGCCCCAUAUAAGUCAACAUAGAAUAAAAGGCCAAGACAGAGCCUUCAUUACAUUGAAUGAUGAUCUUCCCAGGAGAGGAA